RNAcentral lists this ribosomal RNA (444 nucleotides) under uncultured copper smeltery bacterium D98. Its description in RNAcentral is "bacterial SSU rRNA". It matches the Rfam family "Bacterial small subunit ribosomal RNA", at positions 10 to 448 of the family's 1533-position model. The record is from RNAcentral.
AGUUUGAUCCUGGCUCAGAAUCAACGCUGGCGGCGUGCCUCAGACAUGCAAGUCGAANGAUUAAACUUUCCUUCGGGNAAGAUAUAAAGUGGCGCACGGGUGAGUAACACGUAAGUAAUCUACCUUCGAGUGGGGAAUAACAGUCGGAAACGACUGCUAAUACCGCAUAAUGCAGCGGCAUCUAAUGAUGACAGUUGUUAAAGCGUUUACGCGCUUGAAGAGGAGCUUGCGGCAGAUUAGCUAGUUGGUAAGGUAACGGCUUACCAAGGCGACGAUCUGUAUCCGACCUGAGAGGGUGGUCGGACACACUGACACUGAAUAACGGGUCAGACUCCUACGGGAGGCAGCAGUCGGGAAUUUUGGGCAAUGGGCGAAAGCCUGACCCAGCAACGCCGCGUGAAGGAUGAAGUCUUUCGGGAUGUAAACUUCGUAAGAAUAGGAAGA